GAAAUGACAAGGGGAAACACUCAAGAACAAGUCCAAUCACACAUCCACUAGACAAUCAAACACACAAGAUCACAAGGUACAUGAACAACAAAUGAAAAGAUAUAAGGUAAGGUUCAUAUUCAAGAGGAGGUCUUGAUGAUAUCCUAGACGGAUCUUCCCACGAGGGGGUCUUGAUGAUUUCCCACAGGAUCUUCUCCUAGAUGGAGGUCUUGGCCUCCAAUGGAGUAGUGGUCUCUCUCUCUCUCUCAAGAGUAGAGAGAGGUAGGAGCAAAGCUCAUAUACAAAUGAGCUAUCACUUUGCUAACCCUAACUAGAGGAAGGGGAUGGAGUAUAUAUAGGCUAGUCCACGAAGGGGUAAGUGAGGAGGGGAUACAUGGGCCUCUGGCCCGUCUCUGCACGCAGGCAGGCGCCGGAUGUCUAGGCUGGGGCCCGGAUGCCCGGGCUCUCGUGAGACGCCGGAUGUCCGGGACAGUUGGCCGGAUGUCCGGCCCGAAGUGGCCAAGCUACUGGAUAGGGGCGCCAGAUUUCCGGGGGAGAACGCCGGAUGUCCGGUGGUUGCCGAGGCACCGGAUGUCCAGGAACACGGGCCGGAUGUCCGGACGCUGAUCCUUUGGCCGUCUUGUUGGUGCAGCUCCUCGGAGGCUGCACAGGCGCCGCAUGUUCGGCCUCUGGCCCGGAUGUCCGGCCGCUGUAGCUUCAGCAGCUCUGUCUUCUUCCGUCGUUGCUUCCAGGCUUCCCUCGCGGAUGGUGUAGUUGUUCCUUGGAGCUUUCACUCCUCCUCGACAUCCGUGAAGCUUCGACAAUACCUAUGCAUGCACACGGGAGAAGUGUCAAGUAGUAUACCAUCCUCGAAGGGGUCAAGUGAGCACGUGUAAAGGAGAAGAUUCACCUUUAUGUAUGAGAAGUAGAGGUCGCACGUGUCACUUGCCAAAUGGACUCUUGACAUGGUGAUGACCAUAGGAUGCUCCACAUCAUCCCCUCCCUCUUGGAAAAGAUCCGACCUCGGAUCGAAAACCAAAUCACCAUGGGAAAGAGAUGGCGGUGCCGUGAAGAAGUGGUCGAUCACCAAGCACUCAUCGUCUAGUAGCUCGAAAUGGGCACUCGCCAAUGUCACACCGUUUUGCGGUUCCUUCAAAAGGAGAAAAUAGAACAAACACUUGGAAAAACAAAUGUGGUUAGCGUUAGUGCAAAACCAAGCAUUCAAGAGGUGAUUCACCAAACAAGUGUCGUCAUCAAUCAUAGCAUAGGGUGUGACAAAGGAUUGUGACAUGACAUGUAAGCAUAUGAAUUGAGCAAAAUCAAGGUCAUCAUGGAAACAAGCAUGUAAAUGUGAGGUAGAGAUGCAAAUAUGUGUGACAAGAGAAUAAGCAUCUACCUCAAGGUCAUAGCAAACAAGCAUCAAGCACUCAAGGAAAGGUCUAUGGUAGGAAUAAGAAUUAUUCACAACACCAAAGAAAAUGAAGUGUCUAAACACAUGGGACAAGUGCAAGACAAUCCAAGCAUAACGUGCAUAGGGUGUAGUGAAUAUAGUGUGGCACUCAACAUAAUAGGAAGAGCAAUUGUUCAUCAUGUGUGAGGCAAUCAAGUCAAGCAUGUGACAAGCAAUGGGACAAGGCAUAUGUGAAGAAGUGACAUUGUUGCGACCAAACAUAUGAUAGUAGCAAGUAGUCCAAGAAUUGGAUGCAACACACAAGGUAUAUAUGUCAUGAGGCAUGGAAAUGUAAAAAUGAUAAGUCGAAGCAAGAUCUCUAACAUGUGCGCAAUCAAGUGGUCUAAGAUGACCAACAAGUCUCAUGGUGCAAGCAACACAAGUAGUAUGAUCCACAAUAUCCAAGCUCAAGAAAGAUGUCACCUUGAAGGCAUGACCUUGUGCAUUCUUCACAAUGCCGAAGUGGUAGGCUAUAUGGUGUAGAAGAGAGUCAUGGUUGAAUAUAUGAGGCUCGCUUUCAAGAGCUCGAAUGGUUAACUCACAUGAAGUGGAAGUCGACACAGUCCAAGUAUCCUACACAUGCACAAAACAAAACAAAGAAUGUAUGGGCAUGGUAGAUAAACACAUCAUCCAUCAUGAUGGUUCUCUUCUCUUGCACAUAACCAUUAGAAGAACAAGCUCAAGAAUAAUAUGAUGCAGCAAUGGCUAUAUUCAUGGCACUAGGCAUAUGGUGCAAAGAGGUAAGACAAGCAUGCUUCACAAGUGAAUAUGUCAAAAUCUCCAAAUAUAUGUGAGAAUGAUAUGGGGGCAAUCUCAUGAGCAAGACUAUAAGCAUUGUUGCACUCAAUACAUGGCAAGUCAUCUAGCAUGAGAGAGGCAACACAUGGAGAUAUAUGACAAGAAGCAAUAUGAAUCAUGUGCAAAGCAUAUAGAUGGUUGUCAUCAACCGCAUGAAAUGAGAAAGUAUGAGUCAUUGGUGAUGCAACAUAAGCAAGCAUAGUAAUCAAGUCAUGCAAACUAGUGGAGCGAAGAUGCAACACCCUAGAAGAAAUCAUGGCAAUCAUGUCAUGUGAGCAAAUAAUAGGCAUCGGGAAUGCACAUGACAUAUCACAAGCACGAACACAAAGCAAGAUGAAAGUAUCAUCAUAGGAAUGGUGCACAAAAGGAACAUGGCAAGAACAAGCAAUAUCUCCACCAAGCUUACAAAUACACAUACAAGUACUAGAAUCAAUCAUCAUGUGUAAUGCAAAGCAUGGGUCACAAAUGCAUGUCAAAGGCAUAGGAAUGAGCAUAUCAUGAAAAGUGAACAUGGCAAGAUGGGCAAAUGAUAUAUAAUGGGCAAUAAGCCAUAACCAUGUGAGGGACAUGUAGAAGAAAUGCGCGAAUUGUUUGCGCAAAGAGAGCAGUGGGAAAGACAAUCCACGUGAUCCCAAGUCAUCAUUGCUCUCUAGAGCUCGUUUUUUCAACUCAUGGGAUUGUGAGGUUGACAAGUAUUCAUGGCCACCUACACAAAAGAGACAAAAAACAAAGAAAUUGUGUGCGUGGUAAAUGUACACAUCAUCCAUCAUGAUGUGUAUGUGCACAUGUGAGUUAGCACAAGAUAAGUAUCGCUCAAAGAAAUUUGAUGCAUGGUAUAUGAACAUGUCAUCCAUCAUGAAAGAAUAGUUAUUAUGUAUGACACGAUGGGGACACAAAUUGAGAAUGCAAGUAUAUGGCACAUCAAUAGCAUGUUUGUUCAUGGGAGCAUAUGGUGCACACAAGUAUUGGGAUCAUGCAAUGAAUGGGAUUGAUCAAAUUCUCCUAACAUGUAUGAGGAAACUAUGGGGGUCUCCUCAUGAGCAAUAUCGGAAACAUCAUAUGGAGAAAAUGGACAACAUCCAAAACAAUGAAUAUCCAAAGCUAGGUGGUCAUGGCAUGGCAUAUGAGAUGAAUGAUUAAAAGGUAGCAUAUCAAUAUCAUCACAAGAAAAACAAGUGCCGAUAACCAUGGGCAUGUCAUCUAUGCCAUAUGUGCAAAUUGGGUUUAUUUUAACGGCAUAUGCAUAGUCACUAUGAAGAGAUUUCAAAUAAGACAUAUGAUGGAUCUCAUGCAGAGCAUAUGACAAGUCAAGCAGAUUAUCAAACAUGAUGUGACCUAAAGAAUUGUCACAAGAAAUCCUAUGUAACAUGGCAUCACUACUAAUAGACUCCACAUGAGAAUCAUCAUAUUCAUCAUAAAUGGGAAAAUCAUCACAUGGGGAAAUCAUACUAGCAUGAAGCAAGGUACUAGGUGGAACAACAUGAUGCAAGCAAUUAAUGUUAAGAAUGUCCACUAGAGGGACUAGAGCAUCACCUUCACCUAUGUUACCUUUUUCAUUCCACUCAAGUGGUGUAGGUGAGGUGGGAAAGAUCAAAUGGUGGUUAUCUUCAUCUUGAUGGAACCAUGUGGGGGGUGCAUCAUAUUCCACCAUGGCCAUCGUCUUGUCCAAAGGGAUGAUGAAGUCGUCGAGGAUCGGCGCGUCAUCAUAAAUGGGACCUAGCACCAAAUGAGAAGACACAAUAGAGGUAGAGGUCAAGUUGUUAGAAAUGCAAAUGGUCUCACGAGACCUAUUAACUAUCUCACUCUCUCUAUGUGGUGGUUCACUCACUCCCUCAAAAUAGGUGCACUCAAAGUCGCAUAUGGUGGAGUCACUCAUCUCACUCAAGUGGUGUGGGUUGUGGCUCUCCUCACAUGGGAAUUGGGGCAACUCGUCAUAUAUGGGGAUAGUGGUGAAGUCACUCUCACUCUCAAUAUGGUGGCAAAAGUCACUCAAGUCAUCAUACAUCGCCGUGGUCGAAGGGAGAAUCCCAUGCUCAACCGUCUCGUCGUCGUCACCGUGGAUGAAGGCCUAAGAUGGCACAUCAUCACUCUCCUUCAUGACCGAAGGGAAAAUCCCAUGCUCGAUGAUCUCGCCGCCGUCACCGUGGAUGAAGGCCGAAGAUGGCACAUCAUCACUCACGCCUCCUAAGAUGGAAGCAUCAUCCUCGCUCGCCACCUUGUCGCCUGCCUCCAAAGCUUGGUCCUUGAGGGUCUCCGUAGUCGUACUCGUCGCCACACCGUCUUGAAAAAGAGUCAAAGUAGACUCAGCACCAUCAAUGCCACAAAGAGGGAUGGCGGUGAAGUCGAACUUGGGAGCAUCAUCUUGGAGCUCGUCAGGCUUGGAAAUCUUGGUGGUACUAGCCUCAUGCUCAUUCUCAUGGAGAUUGGUCGCCGUGAAGUUUGCUUCGGGUGGAGAAUCCUUGGCCUUCAUGAGUUCUUGUUCCACCUUGAGAGCACCAAUGUAGUAGUCGUCGAUGGACUUGUAGUUCUCGAGGAAAAUAGUCUUGGAGAUGUUGUUGUGCAAUCCCAUCAUGAAGUGGAACUUCAUCGAAAUGGGGUCGUCCACGCCGACUCGUCGCAAGGCAAUCUUCAUCUCCUUGAAGUACGCGUCGAUGGACUUGGAUCAUUGGAUGGUGUUCUCCAAUUGGCGUCGAAGUUGUUCUGUGUAGGUUGGAGGCACGAACUCUCGCCGCAAAGAUCUCCUCGUCUUGGGCCAACUCAUGUCGUAGUACUCCGAAGGUGUGUGAAGCCACCAUGCCCACUAGCGGAGGGCUCCGGUGGGCAGGGUAUGGCACCCGCAAUACCUUGAUUUUUGGCAAAAAAAAUUAUACCUAUGUAUUUGUCGCUUUUGACCUGGACAUCGGCUCGACCGCUCGAGAGCCUCGACAUAGCCCACUCAAACCCACCAACGCGACACCCACCCAGACCCAAACGCGACCAAACCUAGCGCGGCGGCGGCGGCUGGCCAGGUCGUGAGGACCAGGCGGACGCGACGACGGGCAGUCGACGGCGGCAAUGGGCUGGGGGCUUGGAGGGCUGCUGCACAGCGGCACCUUCAGCAGCGGCUCCAGGCCUCCCGCGGCGCAGCAAGCGGCGACUCCAGGCCUCCAGCGGCGCAUCAAGCGGCGGCUCCGGCGGCGGCCGCAGCUGCAGCUCUGUCGACGGCUUCACCAGCGGCUCCAGUGGGCGACGACGAGAGCCGGAGUCGGGGAUUUUUCUGUUAAUCCCUAGGGUGUAGGGUCCGAACUCUGAACUUUGUUGGGUGUUGGCGUUUUUUCUUCUGUCAAUUCUCCAUUAUCUGAACCAGCGCUGUUCUGUCCAGAUUUCUAGAAGAUGGAAGGAAGGGGGAAGGGACUAGCAAAUUCAAAGAAAAGGGGAAGAGGUAAUUUCUCAUUUUUCUGAAAUUUUGUAGCAAUUUUGAAAAACAUCUUGAAGCGUUACAAUCCAGAAGAUUUUAGUGAUAUAUUAAUCUUGUCACUGCAGAUUUGAAAAGGUAUUUUGAAGUGAUUGUUAGUGACAGCAGCUCAAAAAGGAAUCUAAGCACCCGCGAAAGUGUCAAUAUUUCAGCAAAUGUCAAUCAUCAAGAUCAAGUGACUUCCACGGAAGUAGAUCAUGCAAAUUUGAUGCCAACCGAACAAGUGGAAGAACAAACUAUAGAUUCCGCCGAAGCUAUAGUGGAAGAGAAUGUUGAAGUUCACGGGAUUGAAGGUAUAACUAUUUUUAGUGAAGAUUACAUAAAGGGUGAUCCAGGACUUCGCAUUCCACUUGAUAGUUUUGCCCCCAACAUUAGAGAUGGUGUUAGAUUUGCUUAUAUACGAAUGGGUGCAACUCAACCAACUAGUUGCACUUUUCCCCCGAAUAGAGAUGGAAGAUGCUUCCCGCCACAAUGGUAUAAGGAUUUUGAUUGGUUCGAAUAUAGUGUAACAACACAUAAGGCUUAUUGCUUCUGUUGCUAUCUUUUUAAGCAUGACCGAAUAGAUGAUAAAUUUGGGCAUGAUGUCUUCUCCAAAUUGGGUUUUGACUGUUGGAAAAAUGCGGUUGCGGCAUUUCGUAAACAUGUUGGUGGGCCAUGUAGCAUCCACAAUAUAUCAAAAACAGCAUGCGAUGAUUUUAAAAAUCAAGGGGCAAGUGUGAAAAGUAAAGUUACAACUUACAGCCAAGGUUCACUUGUCAAGUAUGAAACUCGUGUGGAUACAUCUUUGGGCAUUGUAAGUUAUCUAGCAUUGCAAGGUGAACCAUUUCAUGGACAUGAUGAAUCCAGUUCUUCUUUGAACAAGGGGAAUUUUUUAGAGUUGCUUGAUUGGGUCAAAGAAAGAAUUCCAGAAGUGAAGGUUGCAUUUGAUGAGCUAUGUCCUCAAAAUGCCAAAAUGACUUCCGGGACAAUUCAAAAAGACCUUGUCAAACAUUGUGCAACUGUAGUCACCACAGUAAUCAAAGAAGAGAUGGGUGAUUGUCUUUUCACUGUUCUUAUUGAUGAGUGUUGUGAUAUAUCGGUGAAUGAACAAAUGGCCGUGGUUGUCAGGUAUGUAUUGAAGCAUGUUAAGUGUCUAUGUGUUUUUCCUUUUGUUAUAUGUAGAGUGGGUUAACUAAUUAUCUGACUACUUCUACAGGUAUUUGAACAAAAAAGGAAAGACCGUUGAAACAUUUUUAGCUAUUAAGCAUGUCCCAGACACAACAUCUGCCUCUUUGAAGAAGGCUUUGUUGGAGGUUUUUGCUAAACAUGGUCUAGUUGUUGCAAGACUACGAGGGCAAGGAUAUGAUGGGGCAUCUAAUAUGAGAGGAGAAUUCAAUGGAUUUCAGAAGUUAAUUCGAGAUGAGAACCCAUAUGCUUUUUAUAUCCACUGCUUUGCCCACCAACCGCAGUUGGUAGUUGUUGCUGUUUCGAGAUGUUGCAAGGGUGUGGAGGAUUUUUUUUGAAUAUGUGACAAUGAUUGCCAAUCUCAGUACUUCAUCGUGCAAGAGGAAGGAUAAAUUGCUUGACAAGCAAAAGGAAGAUCUUUUGGAUAAGAUUAAGAGAGGUGAGAUGCCCACAGGAAGAGGGAAAAAUCAAGAAACAUCGUUGGUCAGACCUGGAGACACAAGAUGGGGAUCUCAUUACACAACCUUAUCUCGCAUUGAAUCAAUGUGGGAUGCAGUCAUAGAAGUUUUGGGCAUUGUUGAGGAUGAUGUGCGUGUUCCAUGUAGGGCAGGAGGUUUGGUUCAUCAAAUGGAGACCUUUAGCUUUGUGUUCAUCCUAAAGAUGAUGCUAAAAAUCCUUCGUAUCACAAAUGAUUUAUCUCUUCUAUUGCAAAAGAAGGAUCAAAAUGUUGUUCAGGUAUGUGAAUAUGUGAUGGAUCGUGUUAGAUGUAUCUAGUAUGGUUGAUGUAUUGUGUUCAUGCAUCUAAAAUUAUAGGUAUCUCAUUUCAGGCAAUGUUAUUGGUUACAGAUGUGAGAACACGUUUGGUCAACUGGAGAAAUGAUGGUUGGGAGCCACUCUUGGAAGAUGUCAAAGUGUUUUGCACCAAAAAGGACAUUCCAAUACCAAGUAUGGAUGACAUCUUUACAAAGUGGGGUAAAUCAAGAAAAGGUGGACGAAACAAUGUCACGGCUGAUCAUUUUUUUCGUGUGGACACCUUCUAUGCUGCUAUAGACUCCAUCACCACGGAGUUUGAUCAUCGUUUUAAUGAGGUAUCUUCAGAGCUGCUCCAGAACUUCUCUUGUCUUGACCCAAGAAACUCGUUCUCUAGGUUCAACUUGAAUAAGCUUGCUAGGCUCAGAGAGAAUUAUCAUGAUGAUUUCUCUAACUAUGAACGUGAACAUAUAGAAGAUAACCUUGAUCUAUUCAUUAUCCAUAUGAGAAGAAUUGAAGACUUUAGAGCUUGUCAUGAUAUUGCAAUCUUAGCUAAAAUGAUGGUUGAACUUGAAAGGCAUGUCAUGUUUCCUACUAUUUAUCGCCUCAUUGAAUUGGCAUUGCUACUACCGGUAGCGACGACAACUGUUGAAAGGGCCUUCUCAUCAAUGAAAAUCAUCAAGUCUGAGUUGCGCAGCAAGAUGACAGAUGGUUGGCUUAAUGACUUGAUGGUUUGUUACAUUGAGCGAGAGAUCUUUAAAAGUAUAGAUCCUGGUAAAAUUAAGCAAGAUUUUCAGAAUGAGGGUAGGGCAUUGCCAUUGCCUGGGUCUUCUAGACGCCAAUGAAAGCUUCAUUAUCGGUAUGUUUUAGGUAGUUUUCCUAUUGAAAAAUGCCUAGAUUUUCAGUGUACUUGGUUUUUGGUUGUAAUGUGUAUUGACUCUUGCGAUUUGCAUCAAAAGAAUUCUUUCCUUAAGACUUCGCCACACCUUAAUUUUUUUCCGUCGUGGAAGUUUCUUGUGGCGCACUUAACUUGAUCUUCGGGACGAACUUGAUGUAGCUUGAGGUAGUCGUCCAUCAAACGCUCAAGAUCACAAGGUAAAUGAACAACAAAGGGAAAGAUACAAGGUAAGGUUCAUCUCCAAGAGGAGGUCUUGAUGAUAUCCUAGACGGAUUUUCCCACGAGGGGGUCUUGAUGAUUUCCCACAGGAUCUUCUCCUAGAUGGAGAUCUUGGCCUCCAAUGGAGUAGUGGUCAGAUAGGUAGGAGCAAAGCUCACAUACAAAUGAGCUAUCACUUUGCUAACCCUAACUAGAGGAAGGGGAUGGAGUAUAUAUAGGCUAGUCCACAAAGGGGUAAGUGAGGAGGGGAUACAUGGGCCUCUGGCCCGUCUCUACGCGCAGGCAGGCGCCGGAUGUCUGGGCUGGGGCCUGGAUGUCCGGGCUCUCAUGAGACGCCGGAUGUCCGGGGCGGUUGGCCGGAUGUCCGGCCCAAAGUGGCCAAGCUACUGGAUAGGGGCACCGGAUUUCCGGGGGAGAGCGCCGGAUGUCCGGUGGUUGCCGAGGCGCCGGAUAUCCGGGCACACAGGCUGGAUGUCCGAACGCUGAUGCUUCGGCCGUCCUGUUGGUGCAGCUCCUCGGAGGCUGCACAAGCGCCGGAUGUCCGGCCUCUGGCCCGGACGUCCGGCCGCUGUAGCUUCAGCAGCUCUGUCUUCUUCCAUCGUCGCUUCCAGGCUUCGCUCGCGGAUGGUGUAGUUGUUCCUUGGCGCUUUCACUCCUUCUCGACAUCCGUGAAGCUCCUACAAUACCUAUGCAUGCACACGGGAGAAGUUUCAAGUAGUGUACCAUCCUCGAAGGGGUCAAGUGAGCACGUGUAAAGGAGAAGAUUCACCUUUAUGUAUGAGAAGUAUAGGUCGCAUGUGUCACUUGCCAAACGGACUCUUGACAUGGUGAUGACCGUAGGAUGCUCCGCAUCAUCCCCUCCCCCUUGGAAAAGAUCCGACCUCGGAUCGAAAACCAAAUCACCAUGGGAAAGAGAUGGCGGUGCCGUGAAGAAGUGGUCGAUCACCAAGCACUCACCGUCUAGUAGCUCGAAAUGGGUACUCGCCAAUGUCACACCGUUUUGCGAUUCCUUCAAAAGGAGAAAAUAGAACAAACACUUGGAAAAACAAAUGUGGUUAGCGUUAGUGCAAAACCAAGCAUUCAAGAGGUGAUUCACCAAACAAGUGUCGUCAUCAAGCAUAGCAUAGGGUGUGACAAAGGAUUGUGACAUGACAUGUAAGCAUAUGAAUUGAGAAAAAAUAAGGUCAUCAUGGAAACAAGCAUGUAAAUGUGAGGUAGAGAUACAAAUAUGUGUGACAAGAGAAUAAGCAUCUACCUCAAGGUCAUAGAAAACAAGCAUCAAGCACUCAAGGAAAGGUCUACGGUAGGCAUAAGAAUUAUUCACAACACCAAAGAAAAUGAAGUGUCUAAACACAUGGGACAAGUGAAAGACAAUCCAAGCAUAACGUGCAUAGGGUGUAGUGAAUAUAGUGUGGCACUCAACAUAAUAGGAAGAGCAAUUGUUCAUCAUGUGUGAGGCAAUCAAGUCAAGCAUGUGACAAGCAAUGGGACAAGGCAUAGGUAAAGAAGUGACAUUGUUGCGACCAAACAUAUGAUAAUAGAAAGUAGUCCAAGAAUUGGAUGCAACACACAAUGUAUAUAUGUCAUGAGGCAUGGAAAUGUGAAAAUGACAAGUUGAAGCAAGAUCUAUAACUUGUGCGCAAUCAAGUGGUCUAAGAUGACCAACAAGUCUCAUGGUGCAAGCAACACAAGUAGUAUGAUCCACAAUAUCCAAGCUCAAGAAAGAUGUCACCUUGAAGUAUGGUGUAGAAGCGAGUCGUGGUUGAAUAUAUGAGGCUCGCCCUCAAAAGCUCGAAUGGUCAACUCACGUGAAGUGGAAGUGGACACAAAGUCCUAGUAUCCUACACAUGCACAAAACAAAUGUAUGUGCAUGGUAGAUAAACACAUCAUCCAUCAUGAUGGUUCUCCUCUCUUGCACAUAACCAUUAGAAGAACAAGCGCAAGAAUAAUAUGAUGCAACAAUGGCUAUAUUCAUGGCACUAUGCAUAUGGUGCAAAGAGGUAAGACAAGCAUGCUUCACAAGUAAUAUGUCAAAAUCUCCAAAUAUAUGUGAGAAUGCUAUGGGGGCAAUCUCAUGAGCAAGACUAUAAGCAUUGUUGCACUCAAUACAUGGCAAGUCAUCUAGCAUGAGAGAGGGAACACAUGGAGAUAUAUGACAAGAAGCAAUAUGAAUCAUGUGCAAAGCAUAUAGAUGGUUGUCAUCAACCGCAUGCAAUGAGCAAGUAUGAGUCAUUGGUGAUGCAACAUAAACAAGCAUAGUAAUCAAGUCGUGCAAACUAGUGGAGCAAAGAUGCAACACACUAGAAGAAAUCAUGGCAAUCAUGUCAUGUGAGCAAAUAACAGGCAUCGGGAAUGCACAUGACAUAUCGCAAGCACGAGCACAAAGCAAGAUGAAAGUAUCAUCAUAAGAAUGGUGCACAAAAGGAACAUGGCAAGAACAAGCAAUAUCUCCACCAAGCUUGCAAAUACACACACAAGUACUAGAAUCAAUCAUCAUGUGUAAUGCAAAGCAUGGGUCACAAAUGCAUGUCAAAGGCAUAGGAAUGAGCAUAUCAUGCAAAGUGAACAUGGCAAGGUGGGCAAAUGAUAUAUAAUGGACAAUAAGCCAUAACCAUGUGAGGGACAUGUAGAAGAAAUGUGUGAAGUGUUUGCACGAAGAGAGCGGUGGGACAGACAAUCCACGUGAUCCCAAGUCAUCAUUGCUCUCUAGAGCUUGUUUUGUCAACUCAUGGGAUUGUGAGGUUGACAAGUAUUCCUAGGUACCUACACAAAAGAGACAAAAACCAAAGAAAUUGUGCGCGUGGUAAAUGUACACAUCAUCCAUCAUGAUGUGUGUGUGCACAUGUGAGUUAGCACAAGAUAAGCAUCGCUCAGAGAAAUUUGAUGCAUGGUAUAUGAACAUGUCAUCCAUCAUGAAAGAAUAGCUAUUAUGUAUGACACGAUGGGGACACAAAUUGAGAAUGCAAGUAUAUGGCACAUCAAUAGCAUGUUUGUUCAUGGGGAGCAUAUGGUGCACACAAGUAUUGGGAUCAUGCAAUGAAUGGGAUUGAUCAAAUUCUCCUAACAUGUAUGAGGAAACUAUGGGGGGUCUCCUCAUGAGCAAUAUCGGAAACAUCAUAUGGAGAAAAUGGACAACAUCCAAAACAAUGCAUAUCCAAAGCUAGGUGGUCAUGGCAUGGCAUAUGAGAUGAAUGAUGCAAAGGUAGCAUAUCAAUAUCACCACAAGAAAAACAAGUGCCGAUAACCAUGGGCUUGUCAUCUAUGUCAUAUGUGCAAAUUAGGUUUAUUUUAAUGGCAUAUGAAUAGUUACUAUGAAGAGAUUGCAAAUAAGACAUAUGAUGAAUCUCAUGCAUAGCAUAUGACAAGUCAAGCGGAUUAUCAAACAUGAUGUGACCUAAAGAAUUGUCACAAGAAAUCCUAUGUAACAUGGCAUCACUACUAAUAGACUCCACAUGAGAAUCAUCAUAUUCAUCAUAAAUGGGCAAAUCAUCACAUGGGGAAAUCAUACUAGCAUGAAGCAAGGUACUAGGUGGAUCAACAUCAUGCAAGCAAUUAAUGUUAAGAAUGUCCACUAGUGGGACUAGAGCAUCACCUUCACCUAUGUUACCUUUUUCAUUCCACUCAAGUGGUAUAGGUGAGGUGGGAAAGACCAAAUGGUGGUCAUCUUCAUCAUGAUGGAACCAUGUGGUGGGUGGAUCAUAUUCCACCAUGGCCAUCGUCUUCUACAAAGGGAGGAAGAAGUCGUCGAGAAUCGGCGCGUCAUCAUAAAUGGGACCUAGAACCAAAUGAGAAGACACAAUAGAGGUAGAGGUCAAGUUGUUAGAAAUGCAAAUGGUCUCACGAGACCUAUCAACUAUCUCACUCUCUCUAUGUGGUGGUUCACUCACUCCCUCAAAAUAGGUGCACUCAAAGUCUCAUAUGGUGGAGUCACUCAUCUUACUCAAGUGGUGGGGGUUGUGGGUCUCCUCACAUGGGAAUUGGGGCAACUCGUCAUAUAUGGGGCUAGUGGUGAAGUCACUCUCACUCUCAAUAUGGUGGCAAAAGUCACUCAAGUCAUCAUACGUCGCCGUGGUCGAAGGGAGAAUCCCAUGCUCAACCAUCUCUUCGUCGUUGCCGUGGAUGAAGGCCGAAGAUGGCACAUCAUCACUCUCCUCCAUGACUGAAGGGAAAAUCCCAUGCUCGAUCAUCUCAUCGCUGUCGUCGUGGAUGAAGGCCGAAGAUGGCACAUCAUCACUCUCGCCUCCUAAGAUGGAAGCAUCAUCCUCGCUCGCCACCUUGUCGCUCGCCUCCAAAGCUUGGUCCUUGAGGGUCUCCGUAGUCGUACUCAUCGCCGCACCGUCUCGAAAAAGAGUCAAAGUAGACUCGGCACCAUCAAUGCCACAAAGAGGGAUGGCGGUGAAGUCGAACUUGGGAGCAUCAUCUUGGAGCUCGUCGGGCUUGUACAUCUUGGUGGUACUAUCCUCAUGCUCGUUCUCAUGGAGCUUGGUCGCCGCGAAGUUUGCUCGGGGUGGAGAAGCCUUUGCCUUCAUGAGUUCUUGUUCCGCCUUGAGAGCACCAAUGUAGUUGUCGUCGAUGGACUUGUAGUUCUUGAGGAAGAUAGUCUUGGAGAUGUCACUGUGCAAUCCCAUCAUGAAGUGGAACUUCAUCGAAAUGGGGUCGUCCACGUCGGCUCGUCGCAAGGCAAUCUUCAUCUCCUUGAAGUAUGCGUCGAUGGACUUGGAUACUUGGAUGGUGUUCUCCAAUUGGCAUCGAAGUUGUUCCGUGUAGGUUGGAGGCACGAACUCUCGCUGCAAAGCUCUCUUCAUCUCGGGCCAACUCAUGUCGUAGUACUCCGAAGGUGUGUGAAGCCACCAUGCCGAUGCAUAGUCGUCGAAGUUUCUUGUGGCGAACUUCACUUGAUCUUCAGGACGAACUUGAUGUAGCUUGAGGUAGUCGUCCAUCAAACGCUCAAGAUCACAAGGUACAUGAACAACAAAAGGAAAGAUACAAGGUAAGGUUCAUCUCCAAGAGGAGGUCUUGAUGAUAUCCUAGACAGAUCUUCCCACGAGGGGGUCUUGAUGAUUUCCCGCAGGAUCUUCUCCUAAUGGAGGUCUUGGCCUCCAAUGGAGUAGUGGUUUCUCUCUGUCUCUCUCAAGAGUAGAGAUAGGCAGGAGCAAAGCUCACAUAAAAAUGAGCUAUCACUUUGCUAACCCUAACUAGAGGAAGGGGAUGGAGUAUAUAUAGGCUAGUCCACGAAGGGGUAAGUGAGGAGGGGAUACAUGGGCCUCUGGCCCGUCUCUGCGCGCAGGCAGGCGCCGGAUGUGUGGGCUAGGGCCUGGAUGUCCGGGCUCUCGUGAGACGCCGGAUGUCCGGGGCGGUUGGCCAGAUGUCCGGCCCGAAGUGACCAAGCUACUGGAUAGGGGCGCCGGAUUUCCGGGGGAGAGCGCCGGAUGUCCGGUGGUUGCCGAGGCGCUGGAUGUCCGGGCACACUGGCCGGAUGUCCGGACACUGAUGCUUCGGCCGUCGUGUUGGUGCAGCUCCUCGGAGGCUGCACAGGCGCCGGAUAUCCGGCCUCUGGCCCGGAUGUCCGGCCGCUGUAGCUUCAGCAGCUCUCUCUUCUUCCGUCGUCGCUUCUAGGCUUCCCUUGCGGAUGGUGUAGUUGUUCCUUGGCGCUUUCACUCCUCCUCGACAUCCGUGAAGCUCCUACAAUACCUAUGCAUGCACACGGGAGAAGUGUCAAGUAGUAUACCAUCCUCGAAGGGGUCAAGUGAGCACGUGUAAAGGAAAAGAUUCACCUUUUUGUAUGAGAAGUAUAGGUCGCACGUGUCACUUGCCAAACGGACUCUUGACAUGGUGAUGACCGUAGGAUGCUCCACAUCAUCCCCUCCCCCUUGGAAAAUAUCCGACCUCGGAUUGAAAACCAAAUCACCAGGGGAAAUAGAUGGCUGUGCCGUGUCGAAGUGGUCGAUCACCAAGCACUCAUCGUCUAGUAGCUCAAAAUGGGCACUCGCCAAUGUCACGCCAUUUUGUGAUUCCUUCAAAAGGAGCAAAUAGAACAAACACUUGGAAAAACAAAUGUGGUUAGCGUUAGUACAAAACCAAGCAUUCAAGAGGUGAUUCACCAAAAAAGUGUCGUCAUUAAGCAUAUCAUAGGGUGUGACAAAGGAUUGUGACAUGACAUUUAUGCAUAUGAAUUGAGCAAAAUCAAGGUCAUCGUGGAAACAAGCAUGUAAAUGUGAGGUAGAGAUGCAAAUAUGUGUGACAAGAGAAUAAGCGUCUACCUCAAGGUCAUAGCAACCAUGCAUCAAGCACUCAAUGAAAGGUCUAUGGUAGGCAUAAGAAUUAUUCACAACACCAAAGAAAAUGAAGUGUCUAAACACAUGGGACAAGUGAAAGACAAUCCAAGCAUAACGUGCAUAGGGUGUAGUGAAUAUAGUGUGGCACUCAACAUAAUAGGAAGGGCAAUUGUUCAUCAUGUGUGAGGCAAUCAAGUUAAGCAUGUGACAAGCAAUGGGACAUGGCAUAUGUGAAGAAGUGACAUUGUUGCAACCAAACAUAUGAUAGUAGCAAGUAGUCCAAGAAUUGGAUGCAACACACAAGGUAUAUAUGUCAUGAGGCAUAGAAAUGUGAAAAUUACAAGUCAAAGCAAGAUCUCUGACAUGUGCGCAAUCAAGUGGUCUAAGAUGACCAACAAGUCUCAUGUUGCAAGCAACACAAGUAGUAUGAUCCACAAUAUCCAAGCUCAAGAAAGAUGUCACCUUGAAGGCAUGACCUUGUGCAUUCUUCACAAUGCCGAAGUGGUAGGAAGUAUGGUGUAGGAGUGAGUCGUGGUAGAAUAUAUGAGGCUCGCUCUCAACAGCUCGAAUGGUCAACUCACGUGAAGUGGAAGUCGACACAGUCCUAGUAUCCUACACAUGCACAAAACAAAACAAAGAAUGUAUGCGCAUGGUAGAUAAACACAUCAUCCAUCAUGAUGGUUCUCUUCUCUUGCACAUAACCAUUAGAAGAACAAGUGCAAGAAUAAUAUGAUGCAACAAUGGCUAUAUUCAUGGCACUAGGCAUAUGGUGCAAAGAGGUAGGACAAGCAUGCUUCAUAAGUAAUAUGUCAAAGUCUCCAAAUAUAUGUGAGAAUGCUAUGGGGGCAAUCUCAUGAGCAAGACUAUAAGCAUUGUUGCACUCAAUACAUGGCAAGUCAUCUAGCAUGAGAGAGGCAACACAUGGAGAUAUAUGACAAGAAGCAAUAUGAAUCAUGUGCAAAGCAUAUAGAUGGUUGUCAUCAACCGCAUGAAAUGAGCAAGUAUGAGUCAUUGGUGAUGCAACAUAAGCAAGCAUAGUAAUCAAGUCGGGCAAACUAGUGGAGCAAAGAUGCAACACACUAGAAGAAAUCAUGGCAAUCAUGUCAUGUGAGCAAAUAAUAGGCAUCGGGAAUGCACAUGACAUAUCGCAAGCACAAACACAAAGCAAGAUAAAAGUAUCAUCAUAGGAAUGGUGCACAAAAGGAACAUGGCAAGAACAAGCAAUAUCUCCACCAAGCUUGCAAAUACACAUACAAGUACUAGAAUCAGUCAUCAUGUGUAAUGCAAAGCAUGGGUCACAAAUGCAUGUCAAAGGCAUAGGAAUGAGCAUAUCAUGCAAAGUGAACAUGGAAAGAUGGGCAAAUGAUAUAUAAUGGACAAUAAGCCAUAACCAUGUGAGGGACAUGUAGAAGAAAUGCGCGAAGUGUUUGCGCAAAGAGAGCAGUGGGAAAGACAAUCCACGUGAUCCCAAGUCAUCAUUGCUCUCUAGAGCUUGUUUUGUCAACUCAUGGGAUUGCGAGGUUGACAAGUAUUCAUGGGUACCUACACAGAAGAGACAAAAACCAAAGAAAUUGUGCGCGUGGUAAAUGUACACACCAUCCAUCAUGAUGUGGAUGCGCAUAUGUGAGUUAGCACAAUAUAAGCAUCGCUUAAAGAAAUUUGAUGCAUGGUAUAUGAACAUGUCAUCCAUCAUGAAAGAAUAGUUAUUAUGUAUGACACGUUGGGGACACAAAUUGAGAAUGCAAGUAUAUGGAACAUCAAUAGCAUUUUCAUUCAAUGGAAUCAUAGGGUGCACAUAAUUAUUGGGAUCAUGCAAUGGAUGGGAUGGAUCAAAAUCUCCUAACAUGUAUGAGGAAACUACGGGGGUCUCCUCAUGAGAAAUAUCGGAAACAUCAUAUGGAGAAAAUGGACAACAUCCAAAACAAUGCAUAUCCGAAGCUAGGUGGUCAUGGCAUGGCAUAUAGAUAAAUGAUGCAAAGGGAGCAUAUCAAUAUCAUCACAAGAAAAACAAAUGCCAAUAACCAUGGGUUUUUCAUCUAUGCCAUAUGUGCAAAUUAUUUUUAUUUUAAUGGCAUAUGCAUAGUCACUAUGAAGAGAUUGCAAAUAAGACAUAUGGUUGAUCUCAUGCAUAGCAUAUGACAAGUCAAGCGGAUUAUCAAACAUGAUGUGACCAAGGGAAUUGUCACAAGAAAUCCUAUGUAACAUGGCAUCACAACUAAUAGACUCCACAUGAGAAUCAUCAUAAUCAUCAUAAAUGGGCAAAUCAUCACAUGGGGAAAUCAUGCUCGCAUGAAACAUGGUACUAGGUGGAUUAACAUCAUGCAAGCAAUCAAUGUCGAGAAUGUCCAUUAGUCGGACAAGAGCAUCACCUUCACCUAUGUUACCUAGUUCAUUCCACUCAAGUGGUGUAGGUGAGGUGGGAAAGACCAAAUGGUGGUCUUCUUCAUCUUGAUGGAACCAUGUGGGGGUGCAUCAUAUUCCACCAUGGCCAUUGUCUUGUCCAAAGGGAGGACGAAGUCGUCGAGGAUCGGCGCGUCAUCAUAAAUGGGACCUAGAACCAAAUGAGAAGACACAAUAGAGGUAGAGGUCAAGUUGUUAGAAAUGCAAAUGGUCUCACGAGACCUAUCAACUAUCUCACUCUCUCUAUGUGGUGGUUCACUCACUCCCUCAAAAUAGGUGCACUCAAAGUCGCAUAUGGUGGAGUCACUCAUCUCACUCAAGUGGUGGGGGUUGUGGCUCUCCUCACAUGGGAAUUGGGGCAACUCGUCAUAUAUGGGGCUAGUGGUGAAGUCACUCUCACUCUCAAUAUGGUGGAAAAAGUCACUCAAGUCAUCAUACGUUGCUAUGGUCGAAGGGAGAAUCCCAUGCUCAACCAUCUCAUCGUCGUCGCCGUGGAUGAAGGCCGAAGAUGGCACAUCAUCACUCUCCUCCACGACCGAAGGGAAAAUCCCAUACUCGAUCAUCUCAUCGCUGUCGCCGUGGAUGAAGGCCGAAGAUGGCACGUCAUCACUCUUGCCUCCUAAGAUGGAAGCAUCAUCCUAGCUCGCCACCUUGUCGCUCGCCUCCAAAGCUUGGUCCUUGAGGGUCUCCGUAGUCGUACUCAUCACCGCACCAUCUUGAAAAAGAGUCAAAGUAGACUCGGCACCAUCAAUGCCACAAAGAGGGAUGGCGGUGAAGUCGAACUUGGGAGCAUCAUAUUGGAGCUCGUCAGUCUUGGACAUCUUGGUGGUACUAGCCUCAUGCUCGUUCUCAUGGAGCUUGGUCGCCGCAAAGUUUGCUUGGGGUGGAGAAGCCUUGGCCUUCAUGAGUUCUUGUUCCGUCUUGAGAGCACCAAUGUAGUAGUCGUCGAUGGACUUGUAGUUCUUGAGGAAGAUAGACUUGGAGAUGUCGUUGUGCUAUCCCAUCAUGAAGUGGAACUUCAUCGAAAUGGGGUCGUCCACGCUGGCUCAUUGCAAGGCAAUCUUCAUCCCCUUGAAGUACGCAUCGAUGGACUUGGAUCCUUGGAUGGUGUUCUCCAAUUGGCGUCGAAGUUGUUCCAUGUAGGUUGGAGGCACGAACUCUCGCCGCAAAGCUCUCUUUGUCUUGGGACAACUCAUGUCGUAGUACUCCGAAGGUGUGUGAAGCCACCAUGCCGAUGCAUAGUCGUGGAAGUUUCUUGUGGCGCACUUCACUUGAUCUUCGGGACGAACUUGAUGUAGCUUGAGGUAGUUGUCCAUCAAACGCUCCCACUCAAGAUACUCCUCGGGUUCUGGAGUACCAUAGAAAGGAAUCUCAUUGUCGGUGUCGAGGUCGUAGUAGCUCAUGGAAGUCGCGGACUUGAGCUUGGGGAGCUUCUCUUGAGCGUAGUAUUGAGGUGCUUGUUGGCAAAUAUGCCGUAUGUCCAUAGGCGAAAAUGCCUUGAAGUCGCUUGGCGAAGAUGCCAAGGGAGAUGGUGAAGUCGUUGAACGGUUGUUGGUGUUGAUCUCUUGACCUUCAUGUUCUUGUUGGUGAUGGUGUCGAUGCCGAUGUGAUCUUGCCGGAGAUGGUAGCUCGGAAGGAUGUGCUUUUGAGCGUCUUCUCAAAGAUGAGGAAGAUAGCUUGUAGGACUUGAUGAGGGCUUUGAUCUCCUCCAUUUUAGCAUGCAUCUUGGCGUCGGAUUUGUUGUUCGUGGCAUCGAACUCAUCGUUGUUGUUGUAGACCGAAGGUGAAAUGCCUUGCCUAUCCAUCACAAGACUCGAGUAGAGGUGAGUAGGAAAUGAGAUAAACAAUACCAAGUUACCUUUUCCCAAAGUUGAGGAUGUAUCCCGUUUCACUCAAUGUGAAUGAAAGAAUAGUGGAAUUGGUACCAGACUUGUUCACUCACACCUAUCAAGUAAAGCUUAUGGUAGAGCUCUGUGAGGAUAGUGGCAAAAAAAUUUGAUGCAAAAUGUUAGCAAGAGUCAAUAAUGUUAAAAGAGAUUCACAAAUUUGCAAGCGAAACAAGUAGACCAAUAGCAAUAUGUGGCACACGGAAACACACACACGGAUAGAUAAAUGGGGUCGUGCAACCAUGGAAUGAGCACAAAAUGUGGAAUCCACGGAAAACGCUUGUGUUGCACAACUCAGGAGAGACGCUAGCACGAUUGCUCAAUAGGCGGAUAUGACACUUGUGCACAGCCUAUAAGAUGCAAAAUGGAUAAACUUUCUAUCCCAAGUAUGCUAUAUAUGUAUGGUUCCCGGUGUUUCUCACGCAAUGAUCCAAGAUGAUCAAGUAUGAUACCAUAUGAUAUAUUUUGAUGCUAUGGCUACUGCUUACAAGCUCUUUGCUCUCUUUCUUUUGCUUAAAAGCUUUAUUUCUUUUUUAUAUGGCCACUUUGGCACAAUGCACAAACCAAGAUAGCAAUUGUGUAUAUGCGGGAACAAACUUGUGACACAAGAUAUGAUACCAAUAUAUGCACCACGAUGAUAUGGUAUCAUGAGCCACGUUUAUCACGUAUUUGGAGUCCCUCCCAUCAUUUUCUAGCCUUCUUUUGCUUGAUUUCGUCUUAAAUCCGAAAAUCCCCACCAAAAAUACCCCAAUUUUUUUUUUUGAUUUGUUGGUUUGAUGAUGUUUUGUUGAUUUUGAUCCGUGGAUUUGCUUUGUUUCAAGUGGAUCUAGCUUUCCCCCAAGUUUCCCCACCUUCCAUCCACGAAAUCCAUCAAAUUUUGCCCCCGAAAUCAUCAAUUUGGUUGUUGGUGUUGAGCUCUUGACCUUCACGUUCUUGUUGGUGAUGGUGUAUAUGCUGAUGUGAUCUUGCCGGAGAUGGUAGCUCGGAAGGAUGUGCUCUUGAGCGUCUUCUCGAAUAUGAGGAAGAUCGCUUGUAGGACUUGAUGAGGGCUUUGAUCUCCUCCAUUUUAGCUUGCAUCUUGGCGUUGGAGUUGUUGUUCGUGGCAUCGAACUCAUCAUUGUUGUUGUAGACCGAAGGUGAAAUGCCUUGCCUAUCCAUCACAAGACUCGAGUAGAGGUGAGUAGGAAAUGGGAUAAACAAUACCAAGUUACCUUUUUCCAAAGUUGAGGAUGUAUCCCGUUUCACUCAAUGUGAAUGAAAGAAUAGUGGAAUUGGUACCGGACUUGUUCACUCACACCUAUCAAGUAAAGCUUAUGGUAGAGCUCGGUGAGGAUAGUGGCACAAAAAUUUGAUGCAAAAUGUUAGCAAGAGUCAAUAAUGUUGAAAGAGAUUCAAAAAUUCACAAGCGAAACAAGUAGACCAAUAGCAAUAUGUGGCACACGGAAACACACACACGGAUAGAUAAAUGGGGUCGUGCAACCAAGGAAUGAUCACAAAAUGUGAAAUCCAUGGAAACCGCUUGUGUUGCACAACUCAAGAGAGACGCUAGCACGAUUGCUCAAUAGGCGGAUACGACACUUGUGCACAACCUAUAAGAUGCAAAAUGGAUAAACUUUCUACCCCAAGUAUGCUAUAUAUGUAUGGUUCCCGGUGUUUCUCACACAAUGACCCAAGAUGAUCAAGUACGAUACCAUAUGAUAUAUUUUGAUGCUAUGGCUAUUGCUUACAAGCUCUUUGCUCUCUUUCUUUUGCUUAAAAGCUUUAUUUCUUUUUUUAUGGCCACUUUGGCACAAUGCACAAACCAAGAUAGCAAUUGUGUAUAUGCGGGAACAAACUUGUGACACAAGAUAUGAUACCAAUAUAUGCACCACGAUGAUAUGGUAUGUAUGCUAUGGGAAAUAUGAUCACUAAUGUGCACAGGUCACGUUGCCGGCAAUACGCAAAUAGCUAGUCUCGAUAGCAAGUAACGCAAAAUGGGCUAGGGUGUUAUCAAUGCAAUUGCAAGGGUAAUGUACAAUGGUGUCGUCGAGGAUACCGUCCUUGGAAAUGAUGAUAGGCGGAGUUGCCAAUGUCGACCCGUUCCUAGUUAGCCGAAACACCCUAGGAAAUGGAAAAACCACAACUCAAAAUCUCCAAAGGCAAAAUGUCAAAUGGUGGUAGCGGAAAGCGGUGGUGGUUUUGCACGAGGCAAUGAGGACGUGUAAAGGUGGGCUAUACAUGUGUUGGAUUUGAAGUUGUCGUCCCUAAGUAGCCGAAACACCUUUGGAGACACAAGCCACAACUCAAACAAAAUUGGGUUAAGUUGGGGUGGAAAUAUAUGGUGGGCACGUCUAUGCGGAAGUGGAGGUGGUGGUUGAUGAAUAUGCAAUUGUCCCUAAGUAGCUGAAACACCUUAGGAGACGCGAAUCACUACUCAAGCAACCACUAAUGCUAAGGGCUAGGUUGAGCUUGUUUGAGUUGAUCAAGAUGCGUUAGGUUGCGGAAGUCAGUGGUGGUGUAGCGGAUGAUGUGGUGGAAGCCCUAGGCAAAGAUGCCAAAAUGCACAAACUUUGAUGGAGUCAAAUGAUGCUGGUGGUAUUUUUGCGGGAUGGGGGAUGUCAAUAGCUUCAAAACGAGCUAAAGAACGUCAAAAUCGAACUCUGGAUGAAUUAGUUAUGGUCAAAACGGUGAAACACGGAAGGCUGAAAUGCCAGGGACCGGAUAUCCGGCGGUACGGACCGGAUUUCCGGGCGUGUAUGUCCAGAACCGUGCAGAUUUGGUGCUCCAGGGCUCGAAUGUCCGGCUUGAGGCCCAGAUGUCCGGCCCGAUGGCCCGGAUGUCCGGCCAGGCGAUUCCAGAUCUCGUUUGGGGCGGAAAUUUUCGAAUUGGAGGCGGAAAUUGAUGAUUCCAGGGGCAAAAUUUGAUGGAUUUCGUGGAUGGAAGGUGGGGAAACUUGGGGGAAAGUUGGAUCCACUUGAAACCAAGCAAAUCCACGGAUCAAAAUCAACAAAACAUCAUCAAACCAAGAAAUCACAAAAAAAAUUGGGGCUAUUUUUGGUGGGGAUUUUUGAAUUUAGGACGAAAUCAAGCAAAAGAAGGCUAGAAAACGAUGGGAGGGACUCCAAAUACGUGAUAAACGUGGCCCAUGAUACCAUAUGAUAUGGGGCUAACCCGGUGUAGGCCAAUCUUUCACGUUUGGAGUGGGAUCCCUCGAAGAACACAAAGAACACGGGGAAGAACGGGGAGAAAUCACAAGGGGAAACACUCAAGAACAAGUCCAAUCACACAUCCACUAGACAAUCAAACACAUAAGAUCACAAGGUACAUGAACAUCAAAUGGAAAGAUACAAGGUAAGGUUUAUCUCCAAGAGGAGGUCUUGAUGAUAUCCUAGACGGAUCUUCCCAUGAGGGGGUCUUGAUGAUAUCCCGCAGGAUCUUCUCCUAGAUGGAGGUCUUGGCCUCCAAUGGAGUAGUGGUCUCUCUCUCUCUCAAGAGUAGAGAUAGGUAGGAGC
This 22764-nucleotide long non-coding RNA is filed under the name Triticum aestivum (bread wheat). Its description in RNAcentral is "long non-coding RNA (TAES_LNC012032)". Lineage: Eukaryota; Viridiplantae; Streptophyta; Magnoliopsida; Poales; Poaceae. The record is from RNAcentral.